Molecule: ribosomal RNA, 837 nt
Filed under: Triticum aestivum (bread wheat)
Lineage: Eukaryota; Viridiplantae; Streptophyta; Magnoliopsida; Poales; Poaceae
Description: partial small subunit ribosomal RNA
Source: RNAcentral
AUGCAACUCUAUAGAUAUCUGAUGAGCCGACAAGGACAGAAACAAUGCAGACAAGAACAGCUAUAUAAAACCUCAAAGAGCAAAGGCUACAUUUCAGGAAAAUCCUUCAUGGAACAAGCAGGGAAAGGAAACGCACAAAUGGAGGGCUCCAUGCUAAACGCGUUACUGGACGAAUGGACAGAACAGAAACAGUUCAACCCAGACAUCACAACUGUACUCCCUGCAGAAUUCACAAAUAUGGUGCUAGGUCUCAAUUAUAAAAGAGGGGAGCUAUCAGAAUUCAACGAAGACGAUGCACUACAAGCAUUUGAACAACUCGUGCGAAGUAAAACCAUCCUGCACUCAAAGAUGAUCAUGAUACCUCAUCACACGGACAAGCACUACACGCUAUAUGUAAUGAACAAGUACAGAGAUAGCAUCGACAUCCUUGACUCACUGACCUAUCUAAACUACGCCGAUUUGUCUUGGAGUAAACACCAUGUGCAUCGAGCAGAACUGAUGAGAAGGAUGUCAGUGUUGAUGAACAAGUACCACCAACUAAAAGACAAGAACGAACCAGACUGGGCAAGGAUAGAAGAAAGGCCUCACAGGAUCUGCACACCAAAGCAAGAAGGAACACAAUGCGGACACUUCACGGCCCAAUUUGCGAAACACUGGAAUUGGAAAGAACUGGUCAAGGACAGAGAGGAUUUUCAUCACAGCAAGGUGGAUGCCAAAUGGAAACCAGAGUACGUAUACACACUCAUAUUCGGUAAAACCAACCAAAUAAAGCACCAUCAACUUCCUGAAAAAAUCAAAGUUUUCAAACCAGAGACUACAAACCUUUUUCGCCCAUGA